CGGGACACGUGGUAUCCUGUCUGAAUAUGGGGGGACCAUCCUCCAAGGCUAAAUACUCCUGACUGACCGAUAGUGAACCAGUACCGUGAGGGAAAGGCGAAAAGAACCCCGGCGAGGGGAGUGAAAAAGAACCUGAAACCGUGUACGUACAAGCAGUGGGAGCCUCUUAAUGGGGUGACUGCGUACCUUUUGUAUAAUGGGUCAGCGACUUAUAUUCUGUAGCAAGGUUAACCGAAUAGGGGAGCCGAAGGGAAACCGAGUCUUAACUGGGCGUUAAGUUGCAGGGUAUAGACCCGAAACCCGGUGAUCUAGCCAUGGGCAGGUUGAAGGUUGGGUAACACUAACUGGAGGACCGAACCGACUAAUGUUGAAAAAUUAGCGGAUGACUUGUGGCUGGGGGUGAAAGGCCAAUCAAACCGGGAGAUAGCUGGUUCUCCCCGAAAGCUAUUUAGGUAGCGCCUCGUGAAUUCAUCUCCGGGGGUAGAGCACUGUUUCGGCAAGGGGGUCAUCCCGACUUACCAACCCGAUGCAAACUGCGAAUACCGGAGAAUGUUAUCACGGGAGACACACGGCGGGUGCUAACGUCCGUCGUGAAG
Molecule: ribosomal RNA, 596 nt
Filed under: Escherichia coli
Lineage: Bacteria; Pseudomonadati; Pseudomonadota; Gammaproteobacteria; Enterobacterales; Enterobacteriaceae
Description: partial 23S ribosomal RNA
Rfam family: Bacterial large subunit ribosomal RNA
Source: RNAcentral